GGGCCCGUAGCUCAGCCAGGAAGAGCGCCGGGCUUUUAACCCGGUGGUCCCGGGUUCAAAUCCCGGCGGGCCCG
Molecule: transfer RNA, 74 nt
Filed under: Ignicoccus hospitalis KIN4/I
Lineage: Archaea; Thermoproteati; Thermoproteota; Thermoprotei; Desulfurococcales; Desulfurococcaceae
Also listed under: 1 other name
Rfam family: tRNA
About the family: Transfer RNA (tRNA) molecules are approximately 80 nucleotides in length. Their secondary structure includes four short double-helical elements and three loops (D, anti-codon, and T loops).
Source: Rfam by way of RNAcentral